UACGUAUGGGGCGAACGUUAUUCGGAAUUAUUGGGCGUAAAGGGUAUGUAGGCGGACUAGUAAGUUGAUUGUUAAAUACUUAGGCUUAACCUAAGAACAGCUUUCAAAACUAUUAGUCUGGAGAGUAGGAGAAGAAACCAGAAUUCUUGGUGUAGGGGUGGAAUCCGUUGAUAUCAAGAAGAAUGCCAGAGGCGAAAGCGGGUUUCUAGCCUAUUUCUGACGCUGAAAUACGAAAGUGUGGGGAGCAAACAGG
Molecule: ribosomal RNA, 253 nt
Filed under: uncultured bacterium
Lineage: Bacteria
Description: partial 16S ribosomal RNA
Rfam family: Bacterial small subunit ribosomal RNA
Source: RNAcentral